RNAcentral lists this long non-coding RNA (321 nucleotides) under Elaeis guineensis (African oil palm). Its description in RNAcentral is "long non-coding RNA (EGUI_LNC013261)". The record is from RNAcentral. Lineage: Eukaryota; Viridiplantae; Streptophyta; Magnoliopsida; Arecales; Arecaceae.
AUGAUGGUGCAGUGAGGAGAUUGGGGGAGGUCCGAUACAUACCCAAUUUUAGGUGGAAUCUUAUCUCACUAAGCAGACCGGAUUCGAGAGGCUACAGGACGGUAGCUCAUGGAGGAAUUCUAAAAGUGCUAUGCGGCGAUAGAAUUAUUUUGGAAGGGAAGAAGGGGAGGAAAGGAUAUUAUUACCUGACGAAAAGUCCAGUGCGAGGUGGAGCUUCAAGUGGAAGUGGAUCGAGUAUGAGAUAGGAGACUUGGAAGAACGAGAAGCGACGUCGCAAGGUAAAAUUUCUAUUGCCGCAAGAUGAUGUCUCGAGCAGGUCUC